GACGAACGCUGGCGGCGUGCUUAACACAUGCAAGUCGAACGGAAAGGCCCUGCUUUUGUGGGGUGCUCGAGUGGCGAACGGGUGAGUAACACGUGAGUAACCUGCCCUUGACUUUGGGAUAACUUCAGGAAACUGGGGCUAAUACCGGAUAGGAGCUCCUGCUGCAUGGUGGGGGUUGGAAAGUUUCGGCGGUUGGGGAUGGACUCGCGGCUUAUCAGCUUGUUGGUGGGGUAGUGGCUUACCAAGGCUUUGACGGGUAGCCGGCCUGAGAGGGUGACCGGCCACAUUGGGACUGAGAUAAGGCCCAGACCCCUACGGGAGGCAGCAGUGGGGAAUAUUGCACAAUGGGCGGAAGCCUGAUGCAGCAACGCCGCGUGCGGGAUGACGGCCUUCGGGUUGUAAACCGCUUUCGCCUGUGACGAAGCGUGAGUGACGGUAAUGGGUAAAGAAGCACCGGCUAACUACGUG
This 468-nucleotide ribosomal RNA is filed under the name uncultured bacterium. Its description in RNAcentral is "partial 16S ribosomal RNA". It matches the Rfam family "Bacterial small subunit ribosomal RNA", at positions 28 to 507 of the family's 1533-position model. The record is from RNAcentral.